GAUGAACGCUGGCGGCGUGCCUAAUACAUGCAAGUCGAGCGAACAGACGAGGAGCUUGCUCCUCUGACGUUAGCGGCGGACGGGUGAGUAACACGUGGAUAACCUACCUAUAAGACUGGGAUAACUUCGGGAAACCGGAGCUAAUACCGGAUAAUAUAUUGAUCCGCAUGGUUCAAUAGUGAAAGACGGCUUUGCUGUCACUUAUAGAUGGAUCCGCGCCGCAUUAGCUAGUUGGUAAGGUAACGGCUUACGACGGCAACGAUGCGUAGCCGACCUGAGAGGGGGGUAGGCCACACGGGAGCUGAGACACGGUCCAGACUCCUACGGGAGGCAGCAGUAGGGAAUCUGCCGCAAUGGGCGAAAGCCUGACGGAGCAACGCCGAGUGAGUGAUGAAGGUCUUCGGAUCGUAAAACUCUGUUAUUAGGGAAGAACAAAUGUGUACGUAACUAUGCACGGCUUGACGGUACCUAAUCAGAAAGCCACGGCUAACUACGUG
RNAcentral lists this ribosomal RNA (497 nucleotides) under uncultured bacterium. Its description in RNAcentral is "partial 16S ribosomal RNA". It matches the Rfam family "Bacterial small subunit ribosomal RNA", at positions 28 to 507 of the family's 1533-position model. The record is from RNAcentral.